UACGUAGGGGGCAAGCGUUGUCCGGAUUUAUUGGGCGUAAAGAGCGUGUAGGCGGCCAGGUAGGUCUGCUGUGAAAACUCGAGGCUUAACCUCGAGCUGUCGGCGGAAACCAUCUGGCUAGAGUCCGGAAGAGGAGAAUGGAAUUCCCGGUGUAGCGGUGAAAUGCGCAGAUAUCAGGAGGAACACCGGUGGCGAAGGCGGAUCUCUGGGCCUUACCUGACGCUCAGGUGCGAAAGCUAGGGGAGCGAACAGG
RNAcentral lists this ribosomal RNA (253 nucleotides) under uncultured bacterium. RNAcentral's name for it is "partial 16S ribosomal RNA". It matches the Rfam family "Bacterial small subunit ribosomal RNA", at positions 524 to 776 of the family's 1533-position model. The record is from RNAcentral.